RNAcentral lists this ribosomal RNA (497 nucleotides) under uncultured bacterium. RNAcentral describes it as "partial 16S ribosomal RNA". It matches the Rfam family "Bacterial small subunit ribosomal RNA", at positions 28 to 507 of the family's 1533-position model. The record is from RNAcentral.
GAUGAACGCUGGCGGCGUGCCUAAUACAUGCAAGUCGAGCGAACAGACGAGGAGCUUGCUCCUCUGACGUUAGCGGCGGACGGGUGAGUAACACGUGGAUAACCUACCUAUAAGACUGGGAUAACUUCGGGAAACCGAAGCUAAUACCGGAUAAUAUAUUGAACCGCAUGGUUCAAUAGUGAAAGACGGUUUUGCUGUCACUUAUAGAUGGAUCCGCGCCGCAUUAGCUAGUUGGUAAGGUAACGGCUUACCAAGGCAACGAUACGUAGCCGACCUGAGAGGGUGAUCGGCCACACUGGAACUGAGACACGGUCCAGACUCCUACGGGAGGCAGCAGUAGGGAAUCUUCCGCAAAGGGCGAAAGCCUGACGGAGCAACGCCGCGUGAGUGAUGAAGGUCUUCGGAUCGUAAAACUCUGUUAUUAGGGAAGAACAAAUGUGUAAGUAACUAUGCACGUCUUGACGGUACCUAAUCAGAAAGCCACGGCUAACUACGUG